Long non-coding RNA from Apis florea (little honeybee), 1104 nucleotides. The record is from RefSeq and is a predicted model, not a curated record. NCBI's taxonomy places the organism in Eukaryota, Metazoa, Arthropoda, Insecta, Hymenoptera, Apidae.
UUUAUACAAUUUUAAUGUUAUAUAGGCAAAUAUAAAUUAAUCUUAUUAUAAUAAUCUUGAAAGAGUUAUUAAAUAAAGCAAUCUAUAUGAAUAUGAAGUGAAAAAAUGGAAAAAUAGAUAAGUACUUUGAAAGAUAUGAUGAAACGAAUGCACAUCGGUAGUAUGGGAUGGGUCGAUGCAGCGCCGGCGCUGCAGAACAUAACCAAGAAGACGAACAUCCCCACCAAUUCUCUUUAUCGUCGAAACGAUCGCGUCGACGUGUACCCACUUCUCCAUCCAUCCUACGAAACAGAGUGAGAAGAAAACAGUGUUUCUAUCUCUAUCUCUUGUUCUCUUCCCUCUUGUCACACGAAUGCAGCUCCGCAGAACACUAUACGAAGCACCUCGAAUCAGUGUAGAACGGUUUGCAACAAAGUAGAGCCGUUUUCGCGUUUACCUCCUCGUGGGGAAUUAGGAAUUGAAUAAAAUUCACGCAGUGAUGAAGUACUCGCCGCAACAGCAGCAGCAGCAAAAGGAAGGAAGUCGGAGAGCGACGUUUGCUCGAUCGACGCGGCGACACCGAAUCGUGGCGGAGGAGGAGGGAGGCGUCAAUCGGCAUCGACAGAGUGUAAAAAUUUCACGAGCACGUCGUCGAGGAACGCUAUCUGUCGUUCGCCAUCGACGGGGAUGUUCGCCUGGAUGCGCGUGUUCCGGCUCGCCUCGAUGCUUCAUCAGGUUGGCUGCUAGAUCCGAGUGUUACACGGAGCGCCUCGUGUCCGCAAAACUCAUAGAUGUAUUUAACGAUUUAAAAAUUGAAAGGGAUCGUGUACACGUGUGCGCACGUAUGCGCGCGCAGUCGCAGUUCAUUCCGCGCCUGCACUUAUGCAAUCCAUCUGUCCAUCUGUCGUUUAUCCGCACGCAUGGUCACACGUGUACAGGUGCAUUCGACGACCCUUUUCUCUCGGUCGUCAUUUAUCUUGUAUCCAUAGGGUGGUCGGUUCGUGACGUAGGGACGGCCGACGGUAGCUCAACUAUAGUGCGUUACGCGAUAAAAACAAGCAACUGGGCGUCGUACUGGCUACGGUAUCGCCUACACUUAUACGUAGAGACGAAGUUACACAUAUA